GGUUAAGCGACUAAGCGUACACGGUGGAUGCCCUGGCAGUCAGAGGCGAUGAAGGACGUGCUAAUCUGCGAUAAGCGUCGGUAAGGUGAUAUGAACCGUUAUAACCGGCGAUUUCCGAAUGGGGAAACCCAGUGUGAUUCGUCACACUAUCAUUAACUGAAUCCAUAGGUUAAUGAGGCGAACCGGGGGAACUGAAACAUCUAAGUACCCCGAGGAAAAGAAAUCAACCGAGAUUCCCCCAGUAGCGGCGAGCGAACGGGGAGCAGCCCAGAGCCUGAAUCAGUGUGUGUGUUAGUGGAAGCGUCUGGAAAGGCGUGCGAUACAGGGUGACAGCCCCGUACACAAAAAUGCACAUACUGUGAGCUCGAUGAGUAGGGCGGGACACGUGGUAUCCUGUCUGAAUAUGGGGGGACCAUCCUCCAAGGCUAAAUACUCCUGACUGACCGAUAGUGAACCAGUACCGUGAGGGAAAGGCGAAAAGAACCCCGGCGAGGGGAGUGAAAAAGAACCUGAAACCGUGUACGUACAAGCAGUGGGAGCACGCUUAGGCGUGUGACUGCGUACCUUUUGUAUAAUGGGUCAGCGACUUAUAUUCUGUAGCAAGGUUAACCGAAUAGGGGAGCCGAAGGGAAACCGAGUCUUAACUGGGCGUUAAGUUGCAGGGUAUAGACCCGAAACCCGGUGAUCUAGCCAUGGGCAGGUUGAAGGUUGGGUAACACUAACUGGAGGACCGAACCGACUAAUGUUGAAAAAUUAGCGGAUGACUUGUGGCUGGGGGUGAAAGGCCAAUCAAACCGGGAGAUAGCUGGUUCUCCCCGAAAGCUAUUUAGGUAGCGCCUCGUGAAUUCAUCUCCGGGGGUAGAGCACUGUUUCGGCAAGGGGGUCAUCCCGACUUACCAACCCGAUGCAAACUGCGAAUACCGGAGAAUGUUAUCACGGGAGACACACGGCGGGUGCUAACGUCCGUCGUGAAGAGGGAAACAACCCAGACCGCCAGCUAAGGUCCCAAAGUCAUGGUUAAGUGGGAAACGAUGUGGGAAGGCCCAGACAGCCAGGAUGUUGGCUUAGAAGCAGCCAUCAUUUAAAGAAAGCGUAAUAGCUCACUGGUCGAGUCGGCCUGCGCGGAAGAUGUAACGGGGCUAAACCAUGCACCGAAGCUGCGGCAGCGACGCUUAUGCGUUGUUGGGUAGGGGAGCGUUCUGUAAGCCUGCGAAGGUGUGCUGUGAGGCAUGCUGGAGGUAUCAGAAGUGCGAAUGCUGACAUAAGUAACGAUAAAGCGGGUGAAAAGCCCGCUCGCCGGAAGACCAAGGGUUCCUGUCCAACGUUAAUCGGGGCAGGGUGAGUCGACCCCUAAGGCGAGGCCGAAAGGCGUAGUCGAUGGGAAACAGGUUAAUAUUCCUGUACUUGGUGUUACUGCGAAGGGGGGACGGAGAAGGCUAUGUUGGCCGGGCGACGGUUGUCCCGGUUUAAGCGUGUAGGCUGGUUUUCCAGGCAAAUCCGGAAAAUCAAGGCUGAGGCGUGAUGACGAGGCACUACGGUGCUGAAGCAACAAAUGCCCUGCUUCCAGGAAAAGCCUCUAAGCAUCAGGUAACAUCAAAUCGUACCCCAAACCGACACAGGUGGUCAGGUAGAGAAUACCAAGGCGCUUGAGAGAACUCGGGUGAAGGAACUAGGCAAAAUGGUGCCGUAACUUCGGGAGAAGGCACGCUGAUAUGUAGGUGAAGUCCCUCGCGGAUGGAGCUGAAAUCAGUCGAAGAUACCAGCUGGCUGCAACUGUUUAUUAAAAACACAGCACUGUGCAAACACGAAAGUGGACGUAUACGGUGUGACGCCUGCCCGGUGCCGGAAGGUUAAUUGAUGGGGUUAGCGCAAGCGAAGCUCUUGAUCGAAGCCCCGGUAAACGGCGGCCGUAACUAUAACGGUCCUAAGGUAGCGAAAUUCCUUGUCGGGUAAGUUCCGACCUGCACGAAUGGCGUAAUGAUGGCCAGGCUGUCUCCACCCGAGACUCAGUGAAAUUGAACUCGCUGUGAAGAUGCAGUGUACCCGCGGCAAGACGGAAAGACCCCGUGAACCUUUACUAUAGCUUGACACUGAACAUUGAGCCUUGAUGUGUAGGAUAGGUGGGAGGCUUUGAAGUGUGGACGCCAGUCUGCAUGGAGCCGACCUUGAAAUACCACCCUUUAAUGUUUGAUGUUCUAACGUUGACCCGUAAUCCGGGUUGCGGACAGUGUCUGGUGGGUAGUUUGACUGGGGCGGUCUCCUCCUAAAGAGUAACGGAGGAGCACGAAGGUUGGCUAAUCCUGGUCGGACAUCAGGAGGUUAGUGCAAUGGCAUAAGCCAGCUUGACUGCGAGCGUGACGGCGCGAGCAGGUGCGAAAGCAGGUCAUAGUGAUCCGGUGGUUCUGAAUGGAAGGGCCAUCGCUCAACGGAUAAAAGGUACUCCGGGGAUAACAGGCUGAUACCGCCCAAGAGUUCAUAUCGACGGCGGUGUUUGGCACCUCGAUGUCGGCUCAUCACAUCCUGGGGCUGAAGUAGGUCCCAAGGGUAUGGCUGUUCGCCAUUUAAAGUGGUACGCGAGCUGGGUUUAGAACGUCGUGAGACAGUUCGGUCCCUAUCUGCCGUGGGCGCUGGAGAACUGAGGGGGGCUGCUCCUAGUACGAGAGGACCGGAGUGGACGCAUCACUGGUGUUCGGGUUGUCAUGCCAAUGGCACUGCCCGGUAGCUAAAUGCGGAAGAGAUAAGUGCUGAAAGCAUCUAAGCACGAAACUUGCCCCGAGAUGAGUUCUCCCUGACUCCUUGAGAGUCCUGAAGGAACGUUGAAGACGACGACGUUGAUAGGCCGGAUGUGUAAGCGCAGCGAUGCGUUGAGCUAACCGGUACUAAUGAACCGUGAGGCUUAACCUU
This 2904-nucleotide ribosomal RNA is filed under the name Escherichia coli 96.154. RNAcentral describes it as "bacterial LSU rRNA". It matches the Rfam family "Bacterial large subunit ribosomal RNA". Lineage: Bacteria; Pseudomonadati; Pseudomonadota; Gammaproteobacteria; Enterobacterales; Enterobacteriaceae. The record is from RNAcentral.